This 433-nucleotide ribosomal RNA is filed under the name uncultured bacterium. RNAcentral describes it as "partial 16S ribosomal RNA". It matches the Rfam family "Bacterial small subunit ribosomal RNA", at positions 29 to 507 of the family's 1533-position model. The record is from RNAcentral.
AACGAACGCUGGCGGCAUGCCUAACACAUGCAAGUCGAACGAAAGCUGCGGGUCUAGGGGCGCACGGGUGUGUAAGGCGUGGGAAAGUGCACUUAGGUUCGGAAUAACUCUUAGAAUGGGGUGGUAAUAACGGAAAAUGUCUGCGGCAUAAAGACUUAUCGCCAUUGGAUGGAAACGCUUAGGAUUAGCUAUUUGGUAGGGUAAAAGCCUACUAAGGCGACGGUCCAUAGCUGGUCUGAGAGGCUGGUCAGCCACUCUGGGACUGAGACACUACCCAGACACCUACGGGAGGCAUCAGUGGUGAAUAUUGGACCAUUGGCGAAAUCCUGAUCCAGCAAUGCCGCGUGACUGAUGAAGGCCUUAGGGUUGUAAAGCUCUUUUACCCGGUAUGAUAAUGACAGUACCCGGAGAAUAAGCUCCGGCUAACUCCGUG